Molecule: ribosomal RNA, 440 nt
Filed under: uncultured bacterium
Lineage: Bacteria
Description: bacterial SSU rRNA
Rfam family: Bacterial small subunit ribosomal RNA
Source: RNAcentral
CCUACGGGAGGCAGCAGUGGGGAAUAUUGCACAAUGGGGGAAACCCUGAUGCAGCAACGCCGCGUGAGCGAUGAAGGCCUCCGGGUCGUAAAGCUCUGUCCUAAGGGAAGAAUACUGACGGUACCUUAGGAGGAAGCCCCGGCUAACUACGUGCCAGCAGCCGCGGUAAUACGUAGGGGGCUAGCGUUAUCCGGAAUUACUGGGCGUAAAGAGUGCGUAGGCGGCCAUUCAAGUCAGAGGUGAAAGGCUACGGCUCAACCAUAGUAAGCCUUUGAGACUGUAGGGAUUGAGUGCAGGAGAGAAGAAAGGAAUUCCCAGUGUAGGGGUGAAAUGCGUAGAAAGUGGGAGGAACAACAGUGGCGAAGGCGGCUCUCUGGACUGUAAAUGAAGCUGCGGCACGAAAGUGUGGGGAGCGAACAGGAUUAGAUACCCUGGUAGUC